UCAGGAUGAACGCUGGCGGCGUGCUUAACACAUGCAGUCGAACGAUGAUCCCAGCUUGCUGGGGGAUUAGUGGCGAACGGGUGAGUAACACGUGAGUAACCUGCCCUUAACUCUGGGAUAAGCCUGGGAAACUGGGUCUAAUACCGGAUAUGACUCCUCAUCGCAUGGUGGGGGGUGGAAAGCUUUUUGUGGUUUUGGAUGGACUCGCGGCCUAUCAGCUUGUUGGUGAGGUAAUGGCUCACCAAGGCGACGACGGGUAGCCGGCCUGAGAGGGUGACCGGCCACACUGGGACUGAGACACGGCCCAGACUCCUANGGGAGGCAGCAGUGGGGAAUAUUGCACAAUGGGCGAAAGCCUGAUGCAGCGACGCCGCGUGAGGGANGACGGCCUUCGGGUUGUAAACCUCUUUCAGUAGGGAAGAAGCGAAAGUGACGGUACCUGCAG
This 445-nucleotide ribosomal RNA is filed under the name soil bacterium 10G-09. RNAcentral's name for it is "bacterial SSU rRNA". It matches the Rfam family "Bacterial small subunit ribosomal RNA", at positions 24 to 484 of the family's 1533-position model. The record is from RNAcentral.